AACUAACGCUGGCGGCGUGCCUAACACAUGCAAGUCGUACGAGAAAGUUGGCUUCGGCCGAUGAGUACAGUGGCGCACGGGUGAGUAACGCGUGGAUAAUCUGCCCUUAAGUGUGGAAUAACGUACCGAAAGGUGCGCUAAUACCUGAUAAUACUGCAUAAACUACUGUUGUGUAGUCAAAGAAGGCCUCUGUUUACAAGCUUUUGCUGAAGGAUGAGUCCGCGUACCAUUAGCUGGUUGGUGGGGUAAUGGCCUACCAAGGCUACGAUGGUUAGCUGGUCUGAGAGGAUGAUCAGCCACACUGGAACUGAGACACGGUCCAGACUCCUACGGGAGGCAGCAGUGAGGAAUAUUGCGCAAUGGGGCAACCCUGACGCAGCAACGCCGCGUGAGUGAGGAAGGUUUUCGGACCGUAAAGCUCUGUCGAGCGGGAAGAAAUGUAUCAUGGACUAAUAUCCAUGAUACUUGACGGUACCGCUAAAGGAGACCG
RNAcentral lists this ribosomal RNA (490 nucleotides) under uncultured bacterium. RNAcentral's name for it is "bacterial SSU rRNA". It matches the Rfam family "Bacterial small subunit ribosomal RNA", at positions 29 to 493 of the family's 1533-position model. The record is from RNAcentral.